RNAcentral lists this ribosomal RNA (506 nucleotides) under uncultured bacterium. RNAcentral describes it as "partial 16S ribosomal RNA". It matches the Rfam family "Bacterial small subunit ribosomal RNA", at positions 29 to 523 of the family's 1533-position model. The record is from RNAcentral.
AGUGAACGCUGGCGGUAGGCCUAACACAUGCAAGUCGAGCGGCAGCACAGGAGAGCUUGCUCUCUGGGUGGCGAGUGGCGGACGGGUGAGGAAUACAUCGGAAUCUACUCUGUCGGGGGGGAUAACGGAGGGAAACUUACGCUAAUACCGCAUACGACCUACGGGUGAAAGCAGGGGAUCUUCGGACCUUGCGCGAUUGAAUGAGCCGAUGUCGGAUUAGCUAGUUGGCGGGGUAAAGGCCCACCAAGGCGACGAUCCGUAGCUGGUCUGAGAGGAUGAUCAGCCACACUGGAACUGAGACACGGUCCAGACUCCUACGGGAGGCAGCAGUGGGGAAUAUUGGACAAUGGGCGCAAGCCUGAUCCAGCCAUACCGCGUGGGUGAAGAAGGCCUUCGGGUUGUAAAGCCCUUUUGUUGGGAAAGAAAUCCAGCUGGCUAAUACCCGGUUGGGAUGACGGUACCCAAAGAAUAAGCACCGGCUAACUUCGUGCCAGCAGCCGCAGUAA